RNAcentral lists this ribosomal RNA (355 nucleotides) under uncultured bacterium. Its description in RNAcentral is "bacterial SSU rRNA". It matches the Rfam family "Bacterial small subunit ribosomal RNA", at positions 8 to 350 of the family's 1533-position model. The record is from RNAcentral.
AGAGUUUGAUCAUGGCUCAGGAUGAACGCUAGCUACAGGCUUAACACAUGCAAGUCGAGGGGAAACGACAUCGAAAGCUUGCUUUUGAUGGGCGUCGACCGGCGCACGGGUGAGUAACGCGUAUCCAACCUGCCCACCACUUGGGGAUAACCUUGCGAAAGUAAGACUAAUACCCAAUGAUAUCUCUAGAAGACAUCUGAAAGAGAUUAAAGAUUUAUCGGUGAUGGAUGGGGAUGCGUCUGAUUAGCUUGGUUGGCGGGGUAACGGCCCACCAAGGCUACGAUCAGUAGGGGUUCUGAGAGGAAGGUCCCCCCANAUUGGAACUGAGACACGGUCCAAACUCCUACGGGAGGCA